GCUUGAAGCCGGCUGGUCUGGGAUACAGUUUAUUUGAGCAGCAGCGUCUGGGCUGAGGAUCAAGAUGCCUGAGAGUCGCUUGGCAUCUCUAUGUUCGCAGCAAUCAACAGUGAGUUCGAACCGGUUCGUGAGGCAAAGGCCAAGACUUGUUGUUUAAGGCGUUCUCGAACCAGCCGGAUCCACAGAGCUGUGACAGCUAGUGCUGGACAAAGGAAUGGAGCAUCUGGUGCAUUGUCAAUCCAUACUUCGCCGCAGCGGAAGAAUCUCAAUUGAGGCUAUGGUGUUCCAGCUCCCCAGUUAACCAUGUACAUACCCCUAUAAAUUCUCUCUCCUGAUCUUGUUCCAGGGUACUGCAGCUGGCGGCACGCCUGAGGUUGUUGCGGAUAGAACCACCGGAUUGCUUAGCCCGGUUGGGAAAGAAGGUGUUUCAGCUUCAAAUGGCACAGUUAGAAACGAGCAUGGCCGGCAACGGUUCCUCGUA
Molecule: long non-coding RNA, 481 nt
Organism: Selaginella moellendorffii
Lineage: Eukaryota; Viridiplantae; Streptophyta; Lycopodiopsida; Selaginellales; Selaginellaceae
Exons: 2
Source: RefSeq, a predicted model, not a curated record